This 1610-nucleotide long non-coding RNA is filed under the name Nicotiana benthamiana. Its description in RNAcentral is "long non-coding RNA (NBEN_LNC025176)". Lineage: Eukaryota; Viridiplantae; Streptophyta; Magnoliopsida; Solanales; Solanaceae. The record is from RNAcentral.
UUCGUUCAUGUCCAAACACAACUGAAUCAAAUACUCUUUUUCAUCUUCUAUUUCAAUUUUUUUUAAUAUAUCUAUAUGAGUGCUUACCAUGUUCGCGAAUACCUUGCGCAAGAUAGUCCAUCCUUUCUCCCACUUUGCUCAUCUUACCAAUCACAAAUUUUCCUGCAUAUUCAAGAAUAUUUUUAUCUUUAAGAUUUCUUUAUUCAAGGGUCAUUAAUACUCAGUACUAGUACAGGAACAAGUUGAUGCAUCAAGAGACAACGGAAAUACUCACUUUGCUUUAAUUUAGAUAAGAUCUUUGAAGUUACAGAUAGAAUAAUAUGGUCUUGGCAAGAAGACAGGGGUUGGCUGCCUUUCAAAUGAGCAUACUGCUGAAUUCAUUGGAAUAUCCACCACAUUUCCACUGAGUAAGUUCUUCAUUGUAUUUCUGAUUCUGCAGUGGAAUAUUGCUGUAUUGUGAAUUGUGAUGGUCAGUGAGAAAUAUUUAAGUUUAAGAACAUUUCUUAUAUAAUUAUAUAUAGGGGUUUGAGGAGAAGUUGAGGAAUCUUUUUACUAAUUGUUGCUUGAGUCACCUUUGGGUCAUCAAGAACCAUAAAAGAUAAUGCAUGUGCUUUUUUAGAAUUUUCUUUUGUACCAAGAAGAAAAGGUUGUCAGGAAUAUGGAAUGUCGGCUGAGAGUUUCAAAAGUUUCAGUGUCUUCCAUUAUUUUUUGUUAAUUGUAAUUUGAAAAAUUCAAAAUCUAAGUGCAGUGCAUGUUCAACCUCUCCUUUCUUUUCUUUGUUUUCCCUUUGCUUUGUGUCCCUCUCUCUCUAUAUAUAUAUCUCACACACACAUAAAGGUGCGGUCCAGUUAAGUUUGUGGGCACCUCAACUAUUCCUUCGGUUGAUACCUGCGACCUCCUAUCAACACAAGUUCUAAGUAAUGCUACUCACCAAAACUAAGGUAGAUGAGUAAUCACCUAAUGUUUUUAGUGUUUGCUGUGAAUUAAACCCUGGUCUCUCAUGCUUUUAAUCUAUGUCUUACUAUUGCUGCAUAGGUUUUGAAAAUGUCUUUCUUUUAGUUAUCGGGUCGAUUACAGUAAACUAAUCUCAUUGCUGACGAAUUUUGUUAUCAAGAUUUGGGGGCACAUGUGGUGUUUCUAACUUUUGAGUUGGCAGAUUUGCUUUGUCAUGUACCUACUUUUGCAAGUUGAGUAAAAGUAAGAGUAACCUAUGCAUUUUGAAGUCAUCUUAUCAAAACCUAAACGACCUUUUGUACUUUUCUAUGCAUAUCGAUUCAUAAAUUCCAUUCAUGGGCCACAUUUCUCUACAGUCACAUGUGAUAUUUGUUUUUCUAACCAUAAUCUUAUUUUAGUUUCUUCUACAACUUAAAAUUUCACUUGGUAUUAUCAUAUGGCACUUCUUUAUGGCUCUGAGUUGAUAAUCUUUUAUAUGUAAAAGGAUUUAAUAAGCAUUUAUUUUAAAUAAAACUAAUAGUUUGACUUCAUACAGGACUAUGUUAUGACUCUGAAGUUGAACCGUCUUUGCUGAGAAGCAAGUUGUUCUUGUUGGAUUGUUACAUCCGGUAAAACUUACCCGCACACGGUUUUUACAACAAUCCAACGAAUACAUG